RNAcentral lists this ribosomal RNA (214 nucleotides) under Campeiostachys nutans. Its description in RNAcentral is "Elymus nutans partial small subunit ribosomal RNA". The stretch from base 37 to 214 matches the Rfam family "Eukaryotic small subunit ribosomal RNA", at positions 684 to 864 of the family's 1831-position model. The record is from RNAcentral. Lineage: Eukaryota; Viridiplantae; Streptophyta; Magnoliopsida; Poales; Poaceae.
GGAUCAAAUUGUUGGUCGUGCUAUUGUACGUACUGGUAUUAUUGAUUCCUACCUUCUGACGAACCAUGAUGUCAUUAAUUUGGUGUCUUGGGGAAUCAGGACUGUUACUUUGAAAAAUUAGAGUGUUUAAAGCAGGCUCACGCUUGAAUACAUUAGCAUGGAAUAAUGAAAUAGGACGUUCGAUCCUAUUUUGUUGGUUUCUAGGAUUGACGUA